RNAcentral lists this ribosomal RNA (779 nucleotides) under uncultured bacterium. Its description in RNAcentral is "bacterial SSU rRNA". It matches the Rfam family "Bacterial small subunit ribosomal RNA", at positions 8 to 793 of the family's 1533-position model. The record is from RNAcentral.
AGAGUUUGAUCCUGGCUCAGGACGAACGCUGGCGGCGUGCCUAACACAUGCAAGUCGAGCGAUGAAACCCUUCGGGGUGAAUUAGCGGCGGACGGGUGAGUAACACGUGGGUAACCUGCCUCAAAGAGGGGAAUAGCCUCCCGAAAGGGAGAUUAAUACCGCAUAAUAUGUUCUAAUCGCAUGAUUGAAACAUCAAAGGAUUUUUCUUUUAGAAACUUCCACUUUGAGAUGGACCCGCGGCGCAUUAGCUAGUUGGUGAGGUAACGGCUCACCAAGGCAACGAUGCGUAGCCGACCUGAGAGGGUGAUCGGCCACAUUGGAACUGAGACACGGUCCAGACUCCUACGGGAGGCAGCAGUGGGGAAUAUUGCGCAAUGGGGGAAACCCUGACGCAGCAACGCCGCGUGAAUGAUGAAGGCCUUCGGGUUGUAAAGUUCUGUCUUCUGGGACGAUAAUGACGGUACCAGAGGAGGAAGCCACGGCUAACUACGUGCCAGCAGCCGCGGUAAUACGUAGGUGGCAAGCGUUGUCCGGAUUUACUGGGCGUAAAGGAUGCGUAGGCGGACAUUUAAGUCAGAUGUGAAAUACCCGAGCUUAACUUGGGUGCUGCAUUUGAAACUGGGUGUCUAGAGUGCAGGAGAGGUAAGUGGAAUUCCUAGUGUAGCGGUGAAAUGCGUAGAGAUUAGGAAGAACACCAGUGGCGAAGGCGACUUACUGGACUGUAACUGACGCUGAGGCAUGAAAGCGUGGGGAGCAAACAGGAUUAGAUACCCUGGUAG